CAGAAGAUUAGCAUGGCCCCUGCGCAAGGAUGACACGCUCUGCUCGAGAAAUGGUUCCACAAUUUU
RNAcentral lists this small nuclear RNA (66 nucleotides) under Chlorella variabilis. The record is from RNAcentral. Lineage: Eukaryota; Viridiplantae; Chlorophyta; Trebouxiophyceae; Chlorellales; Chlorellaceae.